Molecule: ribosomal RNA, 232 nt
Filed under: uncultured bacterium
Lineage: Bacteria
Description: partial 16S ribosomal RNA
Rfam family: Bacterial small subunit ribosomal RNA
Source: RNAcentral
CGGACGGGUGAGUAAUGUCUGGGAAACUGCCCGAUGGAGGGGGAUAACUACUGGAAACGGUAGCUAAUACCGCAUAACGUCGCAAGACCAAAGAGGGGGACCUUCGGGCCUCUUGCCAUCGGAUGUGCCCAGAUGGGAUUAGCUAGUAGAUGGGGUAACGGCUCACCUAGGCGACGAUCCCUAGCUGGUCUGAGAGGAUGACCAGCCACACUGGAACUGAGACACGGUCCAG